RNAcentral lists this ribosomal RNA (301 nucleotides) under uncultured bacterium. RNAcentral describes it as "partial 16S ribosomal RNA". It matches the Rfam family "Bacterial small subunit ribosomal RNA", at positions 509 to 807 of the family's 1533-position model. The record is from RNAcentral.
CAGCCGCCGCGGGAAAACGGAGGGGGCUAGCGUUGUUCGGAAUUACUGGGCGUAAAGCGUACGUAGGCGGCUUUGUAAGUUAGAGGUGAAAGCCUGGUGCUCAACACCAGAACUGCCUUUAAGACUGCAUCGCUUGAACGUCGGAGAGGUGAGUGGAAUUCCGAGUGUAGAGGUGAAAUUCGUAGAUAUUCGGAAGAACACCAGUGGCGAAGGCGGCUCACUGGACGACUGUUGACGCUGAGGUACGAAAGCGUGGGGAGCAAACAGGAUUAGAUACCCCGGUAGUCCCUGUCUCUUAUAC